AACGAACGCUGGCGGCGCGCCUAAUACAUGCAAGUCGAGCGAGAAGACGUAGCAAUACGUUUGUAAAGCGGCGAACGGGUGAGGAAUACAUGGGUAACCUACCCUCGAGUGGGGAAUAACUAGCCGAAAGGUUAGCUAAUACCGCGUACGCUCCUUGGACUUCGGUUCAGGGAGGAAAGCGAUACCGUGGGUACCGCGCUCUUGGAUGGGCCCAUGUCCUAUCAGCUUGUUGGUGAGGUAACGGCNCACCAAGGCUUCGACGGGUAGCUGGUCUGAGAGGACGAUCAGCCACACUGGCACUGCGACACGGGCCAGACUCCUACGGGAGGCAGCAGUAAGGAAUAUUGCGCAAUGGGCGAAAGCCUGACGCAGCGACGCCGCGU
Molecule: ribosomal RNA, 383 nt
Filed under: uncultured bacterium
Lineage: Bacteria
Description: bacterial SSU rRNA
Rfam family: Bacterial small subunit ribosomal RNA
Source: RNAcentral